GCAGCCUGAUCCAGCCAUGCCGCGUGCAGGAUGACGGUCCUAUGGAUUGUAAACUGCUUUUGCACAGGAAGAAACAACAUUACGUGUAAUGUCUUGACGGUACUGUGAGAAUAAGGAUCGGCUAACUCCGUGCCAGCAGCCGCGGUAAUACGGAGGAUCCAAGCGUUAUCCGGAAUCAUUGGGUUUAAAGGGUCCGUAGGCGGUUUAGUAAGUCAGUGGUGAAAGCCCAUCGCUCAACGGUGGAACGGCCAUUGAUACUGCUAGACUUGAAUUAUUAGGAAGUAACUAGAAUAUGUAGUGUAGCGGUGAAAUGCUUAGAGAUUACAUGGAAUACCAAUUGCGAAGGCAGGUUACUACUAAUUGAUUGACGCUGAUGGACGAAAGCGUGGGUAGCGAACAGGAUUAGAUACCCUGGUAGUCCACGCCGUAAACGAUGGAUACUAGCUGUUGGGAGCGAUCUCAGUGGCUAAGCGAAAGUGAUAAGUAUCCCACCUGGGGAGUACGUUCGCAAGAAUGAAACUCAAAGGAAUUGACGGGGGCCCGCACAAGCGGUGGAGCAUGUGGUUUAAUUCGAUGAUACGCGAGGAACCUUACCAAGGCUUAAAUGUAGAUUGACCGGUUUG
Molecule: ribosomal RNA, 623 nt
Filed under: Flavobacterium sp. Ri2Ps_4860
Lineage: Bacteria; Pseudomonadati; Bacteroidota; Flavobacteriia; Flavobacteriales; Flavobacteriaceae
Description: bacterial SSU rRNA
Rfam family: Bacterial small subunit ribosomal RNA
Source: RNAcentral